UCUAUUUUUGUGCUCAUUUUGCAGGGAGUUAUACAAUUAUAACGAUGUCAAGAUUCCCCUGGUAUUGACUGACCUUGAGAAGCUGGAGAAUAAACCUGAACCAAAAGAAGUAUCAGAUGGGUCUCACUCAGCAUUGAAGGCAGAGUUCUCCCUCCCUAGUUCUUGCUACGCUACGAUGGCCCUCAGAGAGGUGAUGAAGGUUGAUACCUCAGCCGUACACCAAUCAACACUCAACCAAUGAAUGAAGUCCACUAUCCCAUUACAUAUGGGAACCACGCACUCCAAACCACGCUCUCCGACCAUGUAUUAAGAAAUCAUGUACAUUUUUAGCAGCAAAAUGGAGAUUGGCAUGAUAUUAUUUGUUAAAUAUAGUCACACAUUGUUCACCUUGUAUCAAAAGAUAAACGUGCAGGAUCAUUUGAUAUUCCAUCUAUGAUUUUGGUGUAGCGGUCCCUUCCACCCAAACGUGCGGACCAUUUGAUAUUCCAUUUACGAUUUUGGUGUAGUGGGGGCCCUUCCACCCAAACGUCUCCCUGCAAAAUAAUCUCAGAGCUCAACAACUGUGAAAGGUUUUACCUCUGUGUACUAUUCAGUGAUGUUGUUUGAAUUUACAUCACAGGCUGCCUAUAUGAAUUAUCUUUUGCCUCAUUUGUGUGAUAUUCCACUUGAGGAAAGAAAAAGUUUGACAUCAUAUUAGCAUUGCUAGUAUCUUGCUAUUAAUCAUCUGAAAGCAAAGGAAUCUGAAAAAAAGUAUGUGAAGGCUCACCGAAACUUUACAUGACCUUUAACCUUAUGAGAAUGAGGGAAUUCAGUCUUCAACAGAUGAUUGGAAUGCAAUGCUUAAGAGGCAUGAAAACUUGAAAAAAUAAUAUACCAAUUCAGGACAUUUAUCUUUCCAUCUUGUUGGUGGACUAUGGCUGCUUGGCGAACGUUUCUCAAAAAGAUUGAGCAUUCCACUUGUUUAGUAAGACCCCAAUUUCACUCACUUUGUUGGAUUGGUCUACGGUAGACCGAUCAUCUAGAUCCCUCCAGAGGUACGGUUUGCUUGUCUUCACACUCAUUGCAAUUCUUACCCUAAUGAGACCUGUGAUGCCAUAACAACAGGAACAGUUCCUGUUACUAUGACAGCAAACAACAUUUUUGUGCAGAAUCUAACAACUGUAUGUACUGCCAGCCUGAUUGCCAAGUCCUGGUUUGGUUUGGUUUCCUUUCACAAAAUUACUUUUUAUUUUCCUUGUUUAAUGUUCCCUUUCCAUCUUUCAUUUGUGAUAGUAUCUGCCGUAUACCCUCACAGUGAUUAAAUUAGGAAUACUCCUAAGGGAAUAAAGAUGGUCCACACAUUGUGUACUUGAAUGAAUUCAAUGACCGGGUUAGUAAUGAUAUCUGUCAAGCUCUUAGAGGUAAUAUACAAAUCCAGAUUUAUUGUUUUAUUAUUAUAUUGAUAUAGCUUUUAUCUUGUACCUAAAAUGUUUUGAUAGUGAGCUUGUCUUUCUUCUUAGAGUUCAGCUUGAUAUAUGGAUUGUUUAAGCUGAUACCAUGACCUGUAUUUUCAUAACAGGUAAACAAUAAAAAGAGGAACCAGUAACCAGAUAAGUUAAUUUGCAUUAGAACUUAGUUGAACUCGGCUACUCCUUGUCAUUCACAUCAGGCCUGAUAAUUCCCUGAUUAUUUUUUUAAUUUUUAAAAUUUUUAAAUUUUUAAAAUGUUUAAAUCAUGAUUUUUUUCUUCAAAAGUGAAUGAUCCGUGAGAUCUGAAAUUAGGUGGGUGAGGUGCAGUUUUUUCAUGACUUGCUUAAACGCCCCAGCACCUCGCUUUGCUUGGAUUUCGCAAACUUUUUAACUCUGACUAUCGCCCCUGAGUCACAUCCACAUUUUAUUAAAUGUUGCAUCGUCCUGUAUCCUAUGGGAAUGGGCCUCAUUGAAGAUACACAUACUGGUAUGUAAUUUUAGUGACACAGGAAGGAUUAUAAUUUUUCUUUCACCUGACUCUAAAUUCAGUGAUUGUAAAUCUUAAAUUUGUUUGCUGAUUUCUAUGAAGGGAGCCCAUAGACUUUAUUUUCCGAUAUCAUGUUCCAUGUCCUUGCCUAUGACAAAAGGAAAUGACUCCAGUCUUCUCACUCCCAUAUUAUGAAUUUAAAAAAAGAAAAGCCAGCUAUUAAUGAUGGGGGGCAUGCAUGUGACGUUUUAGAUGAAAGAUCCUCUUUUCUCUUUUUUACUACUGGAAAAAAAGAAGUGUUAUGUCAAAAAUACUCAAUAAACGAUCAUGUUUUAUAUAUA
Strongylocentrotus purpuratus (purple sea urchin) is the source of this 2276-nucleotide long non-coding RNA. RefSeq lists it as uncharacterized. The record is from RefSeq and is a predicted model, not a curated record. Lineage: Eukaryota; Metazoa; Echinodermata; Echinoidea; Camarodonta; Strongylocentrotidae. The transcript has 2 exons.